This 215-nucleotide ribosomal RNA is filed under the name uncultured mycorrhiza (Archaeosporaceae). RNAcentral describes it as "partial 18S rRNA". The stretch from base 89 to 215 matches the Rfam family "Eukaryotic small subunit ribosomal RNA", at positions 736 to 864 of the family's 1831-position model. Lineage: Eukaryota; Fungi; Glomeromycota; Glomeromycetes; Archaeosporales; Archaeosporaceae. The record is from RNAcentral.
GGCCUGGCUGACCGGUCCGCCUCACCGCGUGCACUGGUUCGGCCGGGUCUUUCCUUCUGGCUAACCUCAUGCCCUUCACUGGGUGUGCUGGGGGACCAGGACUUUUACUUUGAAAAAAUUAGAGUGUUCAAAGCAGGCAUAUGCUCGAAUACAUUAGCAUGGAAUAAUAGAAUAGGACGUGCGGUUCUAUUUUGUUGGUUUCUAGGACCGCCGUA